Non-coding RNA from Cinara cedri, 230 nucleotides. Lineage: Eukaryota; Metazoa; Arthropoda; Insecta; Hemiptera; Aphididae. The record is from the annotation of a GenBank genome assembly.
GUAAUAGAAUGAGAAGCGAUUUGCUCACUCUGAAUAUUAUCAUUAUUCUCUUUCCUUCUUUCAUUCCACAUUUGUAUUUCCACUGCUAUUGAUUUUUCUCUAUCAUUUCCUAAUUCAGUAAUUCCAUUCACAAAUGAACUGACUCGAGUUAUAUUAUCAUUCUGAGAUGAGUGGUCACAACUUCCUUCUCCAACUUGGAUGUGAAAGCCUUUUAUCUUCUUUCGCGAAUG